RNAcentral lists this ribosomal RNA (427 nucleotides) under uncultured prokaryote. Its description in RNAcentral is "bacterial SSU rRNA". It matches the Rfam family "Bacterial small subunit ribosomal RNA", at positions 355 to 774 of the family's 1533-position model. The record is from RNAcentral.
UCGAGAAUCAUUCACAAUGGGCGAAAGCCUGAUGGUGUGACGCCGCGUGGAGGAUGAAGGUCUUCGGAUUGUAAACUCCUGUCAUCAGUGAGUAAGGACAUGUGAUUAAUCGUCGCAUGUUUUGAUAUUAGCUGAAGAGGAAGAGACGGCUAACUCUGUGCCAGCAGCCGCGGUAAUACAGAGGUCUCAAGCGUUGUUCGGAAUCACUGGGCGUAAAGGGUGCGUAGGCGGCGUGGUAAGUCAGUUGUGAAAGGCCGGGGCUCAACCCUGGUAUUGCAACCGAUACUGCCGUGCUGGAGUGCUGGAGGGGAGUCUGGAAUUCACGGUGGAGCAGUGAAAUGCGUAGAUAUCGUGAGGAACACCAGUGGCGAAGGCGAGACUCUGGACAGCAACUGACGCUGAGGCACGAAGGCCAGGGGAGCGAACG